This is a long non-coding RNA of Sinocyclocheilus rhinocerous, 539 nucleotides long. RefSeq lists it as uncharacterized. The transcript is spliced from 2 exons. The record is from RefSeq and is a predicted model, not a curated record. Lineage: Eukaryota; Metazoa; Chordata; Actinopteri; Cypriniformes; Cyprinidae.
UCAGAAUUCAGUCUCAAAUCCUUUGAAUUGUUCUGAUCUGGUGGAAACAAGCUUCCCUAGUUUGCCCUGCUCUGUGGAAGUGUCUUGUGAGUGCCGUUUCAUGUCAAGCAGAAGUUAUCCACCACACUUUCACUGCUGUGAUUUCCUCCUGACUUUCAGAUCGUGGCGGUCGAGGCGGGUACGGAGGAGACCGCGGCGGAUUCAGAGGCGGCAGAGGAGGAGGAGGAGGAGGCUUCAGGGGUGGAGACCGCGGAGGAUACAAGAUGGGCGGAAGGGGAGACCACAGAGAGGAGAGACGGGGCCGGCCGUACUGAAGCCAUUCCAGACCGGUGUUUAUUGUGGGGUGGGGGGAGAGGUUUGUGUCCGCAGUCCUUUCUGUUGCAUGAGCAUAUACUGUCUGAAACGAGCAGUUUUUCCCAUAAAUGUUGAAUCUACUCUGAGGGGCUGAGUGAAGGGGACGGGAUGAAUUUGAUCUCUGCCACUUUGUACAGCUUCAGUCCUGUAAGUGGCAGCACUGGCCACAGAUCAGCUUUAAAGGG